GACAUGUCAGCGGGAGAGACCGAGUCGCACAAUCGUGCGCCCGGCGCCGAAGGAGCAACUGCCCCGGAAACUCUCAGGCAAAAGGACCGCUGACAUGAA
Molecule: non-coding RNA, 99 nt
Filed under: Marinobacter salarius
Lineage: Bacteria; Pseudomonadati; Pseudomonadota; Gammaproteobacteria; Pseudomonadales; Marinobacteraceae
Also listed under: 2 other names
Description: Glycine
Rfam family: Glycine riboswitch aptamer
About the family: This family represents the bacterial glycine riboswitch. Glycine riboswitches usually consist of two metabolite-binding aptamers domains with similar structures in tandem. The aptamers cooperatively bind glycine to regulate the expression of downstream genes.
Source: RNAcentral